GGGGAAUUUUGGACAAUGGGCGCAAGCCUGAUCCAGCAAUGCCGCGUGCAGGAUGAAGGCCUUCGGGUUGUAAACUGCUUUUGUACGGAACGAAAAAGCUCUCUCUAAUACAGGGGGUGAAUGACGGUACCGUAAGAAUAAGCACCGGCUAACUACGCGCCAGCAGCCGCGGUAAUACGUAGGGUGCAAGCGUUAAUCGGAAUUACUGGGCGUAAAGCGUGCGCAGGCGGUUUUGUAAGACAGAGGUGAAAUCCCCGAGCUCAACCUGUGAACUGCCUUUGUGACUACAAAGCUGUACUGCGGCAGAGGGCGAUGGAAUUCCGCGUGUAGCAGUAAAAUGCGUAGAUAUACGGAGGAACACCGAUGGCGAAGGCAAGCCCCUGGGCCUGCACUGACGCUCAUGCACGAAAGC
Molecule: ribosomal RNA, 412 nt
Filed under: uncultured bacterium
Lineage: Bacteria
Description: bacterial SSU rRNA
Rfam family: Bacterial small subunit ribosomal RNA
Source: RNAcentral